RNAcentral lists this ribosomal RNA (865 nucleotides) under uncultured archaeon. Its description in RNAcentral is "bacterial SSU rRNA". It matches the Rfam family "Archaeal small subunit ribosomal RNA", at positions 1 to 872 of the family's 1478-position model. The record is from RNAcentral.
UUCCGGUUGAUCCUGCCGGCGGCCACCGCUAUAGGAAUUCGAUUAAGACAUGCGAGUCGAGAGUCUUCGGGACUCGGCGGACUGCUCAGUAACACGUGGAGAACGUGCCCUUAAGUGGAGGAUAAUCUCGGGAAAUUGAGGAUAAUACUCCAUAGAUCAUGGGAUCUGGAAUGACCCAUGGUUGAAAGUUCCGGCGCUUAAGGAUCGCUCUGCGGCUUAUCAGGUUGUAGUGGGUGUAACGUACCCCCUAGCCAGUGACGAGUAUGGGCCUUGAGAGAGGGAGCCCAGAGUUGGAUUCUGAGACACGAAUCCAGGCCCUACGGGGCGCAGCAGUCGCGAAAACUUCACACUGGGGGCAACCCCGAUGAGGGAAUUCCUAGUGCUAGGACAUUUGUUCUAGCUUUGCUCUAGCGUAGAUAACUAGAGGAAUAAGGGCUGGGUAAGACGGGUGCCAGCCGCCGCGGUAAUACCCGCAGCCCGAGUGGUGGUCGAUUUUAUUGAGUCUAAAACGUUCGUAGCCGGUCUGAUAGAUCCUUGGGUAAAUCGGGGGGCUUAACCUUCCGAAUUCCGAGGAGACCGUCAGGCUUGGGAUCGGGAGAGGUAAGAGGUACUUCAGGGGUAGGGGUAAAAUCCUGUAAUCCUAGAAGGACCACCGGUGGCGAAGGCGUCUAGCUAGAACGGAUCCGACGGUGAGGGACGAAGCCCUGGGUCGCAAACGGGAUUAGAUACCCCGGUAGUCCAGGGUGUAAACGCUGCCGACUUGGUGUUGGAGGCCCUUCGGGGGCAUUCAGUGCCGGAGAGAAGUUGUUAAGUCUGCUACUUGGGGAGUACGUCCGCAAGGAUGAAACUUAAAGGAAUUGGCGGG